Molecule: transfer RNA, 76 nt
Filed under: Sulfuricaulis sp.
Lineage: Bacteria; Pseudomonadati; Pseudomonadota; Gammaproteobacteria; Acidiferrobacterales; Acidiferrobacteraceae
Description: tRNA-His
Rfam family: tRNA
About the family: Transfer RNA (tRNA) molecules are approximately 80 nucleotides in length. Their secondary structure includes four short double-helical elements and three loops (D, anti-codon, and T loops).
Source: RNAcentral
CAGGUGUGUGGCUCAGUCAGCGGAGCACCGGCCCGUGAAGCCGGGGAAGCGGGUGCAAUUCCCGCCCACCUGACCA